CAGGUUCGUAACUCCAGCACACAGAUAAGGAGAAAGCAACGUGAGUGAAACUGUUGUCACCUCAGAACAAAUCAGUGACGACAGCCUGCCUGGUUGCUUGUGUCCUCAUUAUACACGAGAGUCGUGCACGAGAGUCCCCAAUGAAGCUUUAAAAUGAAGAAUGGCAUCGACGACAGUGGGUAUAUUGGUGGCUUCCCAAAUCAUAGGCCAUGUCCCAAUCCUUAGAACCAGAGAACAUUACCUUAAUGGCAUGGGAGUGGAUUUACCUUAUAUGGUGAUAGAGGUGAUUGAAUUAAGGAUCCUGGGAGACUGAUUAUCCAGUCUGCAGUGUAUAGUGGAAUAGAAGGGCUCAGCCCCCAGGAGAACCUCAUCUGAGGACCCAUAACCUGAGGGUGCUAUUGCAGGAAAAGCCAAAUGGAAGCUCCCAGAGCUGCCCUCCCUGCCAGAGAGUCAAAGGAAAGCAGAAACAUUUUCCCGAGGGAACGGCAGGGAUUUGUGUCGUCAUCAGAGACUGGAAAUACACAAGGAUGGUUAUACUUCUAUCACCAUCUUGGCGCAGAUGACCACAAGCUUAGUCAGGAAGAGAUUCCUAUUGCACUGAUUCGAUUUACUUACUGCAACAGAUCAGCAUGGACUCCGGCCCCUCAGGGGCAGCUACUUAUUGAGAAGAUGCAUUAGUCUACCUCAGUGAAAACACUGAUCACGAAGCAGUUUGCCUUGACCUUACAAGACACCACAAGCUGUCCACCUUCACUGCUGUGUUCCAAGGUUAUGUCCGAUGCUCUUUCUCCGCCACGAUUGGGUACAGAGGAUUGUACCCAAUACCACGAUUGGUCAUCUCGUCUCACCAUCUCAAGUGAUUUUAUUUUAGUUUGUCACAUCGAUGGCAAGUUGGAGUGUCUGGAGAGUAGAGGAACCUACACACUUAUGCCUUGAUGAGCAGCAUGAGAGGGUCCUGACACCUGAGACCAUGAGGCCCUCAAAUGAUGCUUCCAGGCAUCCCAGCCAGCGACAGAGACAGCGAAGCCUCACUAGUCUGGUUUCCAUACCUCCCGCUUGCCUUGAGCCUGGCUGACACAUGCCCUCCUUGUGAUGGAUGUCACACUCAACAGCGACAAGCAUUUGGGCACUUGGCGGAGAUUGUCCUGGGAAGGAAGCGUUCUUGUUGUCAUAAGGACAAAUGACUCAGUGAAUAUGAGCCUGGCAAACAGCUCCUGCUUCUAUGAACAGCCACGGACACCCCAAAGAAACCAUCGGGUACCAACACUGGCUUGAGACACGAACAAGCGUAUGGUGACGUGUACUGUUUCAGCUUCCAUCCAAAGACACUGCUCUAACUGGAUCAGCAUUCUUUGCAGAGUUAGAGGUACCGGAUGGAAGAUCCUUGGAUAACAAAAAUCAGGCAACCCUGUGGACCCAGUGAAGAUGGAAACACACCCCGGUCAACACUCAUGCGGGGAUGGCGCGGGAGAAAAUAUUGAUGCUGUCAGCCUGGAGUUAAUAUAUUUUGAGAACCACUGAGUUGGAGAAAUGAGAAGGACAUAACUGGAUCUAUCUGGAUCUUUGUAAUGGAUGAACCCAGUGAAUGGGGAAGCAUGCAGACAGCCCAGGUGUACACGGCACUUUAUGAAUAUUGGACAACUAUAGGAAAUGCAACUACGAGAUUUCUCCAGAGGAGGUCUGUGUGCCUUCUGUGAGUUGCUCCCUGGGAGAUGGAGGUCUGUGUGCAUUCUGUGAGUUGCUCCCUGGGAGAUGGAGGUCUGUGUGCAUUCUGGGAAUUGCUGUCUGGGAGAUGCUUAUGCCAGCAUCCUGGAAGCAGCUGCUUGGAAAUGAAAAGAACUGAGGACAUCCACUCUGACUUCUGACUCAAGAUAAUGAAGCCCUCAUCCAGUGGCUGAUGGAAGCAGAGACAGACAUCCACAGAUAUACACUGAGCUGAAAUCGGGAAUUUAGUUGAAGAGAGGGAGGAAUGAAGAUCGAAGGGGUCAGUACCAGGUUGGAGAAACCCACAGGAACAGUUGGCUGGAACAAGGGAGAGCACAUCGACCCCAGAUGCUGUCUGGGAGGCCAGUACAAGACUGAUCCAGACCCCUGAACAUGGAUGUCAAUAAGGAGGCCUCUGCACUCCAGGGAGCCUCUGGUGGUGGAUUAGUAUUUUUCCCUGGUACAAGAAGGGACUUUGAG
This 2184-nucleotide long non-coding RNA is filed under the name Cricetulus griseus (Chinese hamster). RNAcentral's name for it is "lncRNA (ENSCGRG00015034184.1)". The record is from RNAcentral. Lineage: Eukaryota; Metazoa; Chordata; Mammalia; Rodentia; Cricetidae.